GACGAACGCUGGCGGCGUGCUUAAUACAUGCAAGUCGAACGGAAAGGCCCUGCUUUUGUGGGGUGCUCGAGUGGCGAACGGGUGAGUAACACGUGAGUAACCUGCCCUUGACUUUGGGAUAACUUCAGGAAACUGGGGCUAAUACCGGAUAGGAGCUCCUGCUGCAUGGUGGGGGUUGGAAAGUUUCGGCGGUUGGGGAUGGACUCGCGGCUUAUCAGCUUGUUGGUGGGGUAGUGGCUUACCAAGGCUUUGACGGGUAGCCGGCCUGAGAGGGUGACCGGCCACAUUGGGACUGAGAUACGGCCCAGACUCCUACGGGAGGCAGCAGUGGGGAAUAUUGCACAAUGGGCGGAAGCCUGAUGCAGCAACGCCGCGUGCGGGAUGACGGCCUUCGGGUUGUAAACCGCUUUCGCCUGUGACGAAGCGUGAGUGACGGUAAUGGGUAAAGAAGCACCGGCUGACUACGUG
Molecule: ribosomal RNA, 468 nt
Filed under: uncultured bacterium
Lineage: Bacteria
Description: partial 16S ribosomal RNA
Rfam family: Bacterial small subunit ribosomal RNA
Source: RNAcentral